This 393-nucleotide ribosomal RNA is filed under the name Triticum aestivum (bread wheat). RNAcentral's name for it is "partial small subunit ribosomal RNA". The record is from RNAcentral. Lineage: Eukaryota; Viridiplantae; Streptophyta; Magnoliopsida; Poales; Poaceae.
AUGAUGCAAGAGCAAUAUCAAAUGUCCAUGAUGGGUCACCUAAAGUUCUUCCUUGGUCUUCAAAUUCGUCAGCAGAGCAACGACAUCUUCAUAUCUCAAGAAAAAUACCUCAAAGACUGCCUGAAGAAGUUCGGAAUGCAAGACUGCAUAGGUUACACGACGCCAAUGCCAACCAAAAGUCAUCUGGGUCCUCACGCCAAUGGUAAAGAGUUCAAUCAAAAGGUAUACCGCUCCAUGAUUGGUUCUUUACUUUAUUUAUGUGCAUCUAGGCCAGAUAUCAUGCUUAGUGUUUGCAUGUGUGCCCGAUUCCAAGCGGCACCAAAGGAAUCGCAUCACUUAGCUGUGAAGCGAAUUCUUCGAUAUUUGGCUUACACCCCAACACUAGGAUUAUAG